Molecule: ribosomal RNA, 300 nt
Filed under: uncultured bacterium
Lineage: Bacteria
Description: bacterial SSU rRNA
Rfam family: Bacterial small subunit ribosomal RNA (bases 57-300)
Source: RNAcentral
GAGAAUACGGGCGGAGAGGCAGCGGGAAAUGGUAGGGUGCGAGGGUUAAUCGUAGGUACUGGGGGGGAAGGGGUCGGAGGGGGCCGCGCAAGUCGAGUGUGGAAGCCGCGUGAUUAAGUUUGGAAUUGCGGUCGAAACUACGUUGCGGGGGUGUGGCAGAGUAAGGUGGGAUUCCUCGUGUAGCUGGGAAAUGCUUAGAGAUGUGGAGGAACUCCAAUGGCGAAGGCAGCCUUCUGGGCCAACACUGACGCUCAUGCACGAAAGCGUGCGGAGCAAACAGGAUUAGAUACCCCGGUAGUC